This 292-nucleotide ribosomal RNA is filed under the name uncultured bacterium. RNAcentral's name for it is "partial 16S ribosomal RNA". It matches the Rfam family "Bacterial small subunit ribosomal RNA", at positions 32 to 301 of the family's 1533-position model. The record is from RNAcentral.
AAUCAACGCUGGCGGCGUGCCUCAGACAUGCAAGUCGAACGCGAAAGGUUCCUUCGGGAACCGAGUAGAGUGGCGCACGGGUGAGUAACACGUAGGUAAUUUGCCUUUGGGUGGGGAAUAACAGCCGGAAACGGCUGCUAAUACCGCAUAAUGCAGCGGCUCGACAUCGAGACAGUUGUUAAAGCGGGGAGUCGCAAGACCUCGCGCCUAAAGAAGAAGCCUGCGGCAGAUUAGCUAGUUGGUAGGGUAAGUGGCCUACCAAGGCGACGAUCUGUAACCGGCCUGAGAGGGC